This is a long non-coding RNA of Macaca fascicularis (crab-eating macaque), 1629 nucleotides long. The record is from Ensembl. Lineage: Eukaryota; Metazoa; Chordata; Mammalia; Primates; Cercopithecidae.
CAUUUUUAAGUUGCAUUAAACAAUAGGUGUUUUGGUUUUUUGUCUUAUUCACAUGACAAGAUGUCUGGAGUCAGGCAGAUUCUGGCCCUUAUUCUUUCUAGCUCAGUAUCACCACAGUUCUUUUGCUUUUCCCCUCUUGCUUGCCACCCCAUGGUCACAAGAUGGCUGCCCUAGCUCCAGGCAUCUCACCCACAUUCAAAGCAGGAAGAACAGGUAUCAGGAAGCUCCAGUCAUGGCUGACUCUUUACUAGGAAAGCAAAAGCUUUACUAGAAGUCCCUCACCAGACUUCCUUAACUCUUCCACUGACCGAGUCAUAUGGAGAUUCCCAGACACAGGGGAGGCUGAAGACACUAGAAACAGAAUUUCAUGAUUGAUAUAGAAAAUUAUGAUUUGUGCUCCAAGGCUGGGCACUCAAACAAGCUUGGAAUUCUGUUAAUGAAGAAGGGGAAGGGAUCAAGUAUCUGUUACCCCCUUUAGACAGGACACAGUGCUUCCUACUUUGUCACAGUCACCUCACUCCUUUUAGAUUGCUUUACUCAGUUAAUCACCUGCCUAGCCCCUGUGAAGGCAUUUGACCUUUCAACACUUGGAUACAAGGCUCAGAGUCAGAAAGUGUGAAAAGAUUGCUAACUGUCUCCAUUAUCCAUUACUUCCCGCUUUCUUCUAGUAAUAAAAUAACUUUCUCCCCAAGAUAUAGCAGGGUAUAUGGCUGUCCAGGUCCAGAUCAUAGUUCAUGGUUACCGUUGCCAUGGUAGCUAGCUGGGUGUGACCAUGUAACUAAGUACUCACCACUGGAAAAUGUAUAGAUUGAUGUGAUCAUCACUUCUACAUCAUUUCCUAAAGUGAAAUUGUUAGUCAUUUACUUCCUCUUUCCCUCACUUACCACAGGCUUGUAUAUAGAUGCUUCAGUGAUGUCCUUGGAGACGGCAGAGCAACAAGAUAGAAGGAACCUGUAUCCCCGAAUGACUACCUGGAGCAGAGCCCCUUACUCACCUCUGGACCCAUCCUGAAUCACCCGUAUGCUUAAAGGGAUAAAACAACAACAAAAAACAAAAUAAGAAAAACGAACAAAACCUGUAAAACAAGAGAUUCAAAAUAAAUUUACUCUAGCUGGGGCAUGGUGGCUCAUGCCUGUAAUCCCAAUAAUUUGGGAAGUGGAGGCAGGAGGAUCACAUGAGCCCAAAUGUUCAAGACCAGCCUCCGCAACAUAGUGAGACCCUAAAGUAACUAGGCAUGGCGGCCCAUGCUAAUAGUCCCAGCUAAUAGUCCCAGUGGAGGCUGAGGUGGGAGAAUCACUUGAGUCUGGGAAGCUGAGGCUGCACUGAGACAUGAUCCAGGCAUGGUGGCGAGCACCUGUAAUCCUAGCUAGUCAGGAGGCUGAGGCAGGAGGAUUCCUCACACCCAGGAGUUUGAGGUUACAGUGAGCUGUGAUCACACCAUGGUACUCCAGCAUGGAAGACAGAAUGAGAUCCUCUCUCAGUAAUAAGUAAAUAAAUAAAUUUAUUCUGUAUUUUUGAGCCUCUUUACUAAAGCAGCUUAUUCUGUUCCUUAACUCAUAUAGGAAAGAAAAAACAAACUUCAUUAUGCCAUUGGUGUGUUGUUAAAAGUUAAAAAAGAAAAAAAAAAAA